UUAGAAUGAAUGUAUGAGAAGAGAGGAGAAUAGAAUAGAUUGAAACUAAGGAGAAUAUGCAGGACAAGGUUGUAACACAACCUGGAGGUUUAAAUACUGAGAAGAGGAUGAAGGAAGCCAAGCUCACUGAUGUAGGAUAAGCAUGGGACUGGAGAAAAACAAGAUAUAUCUUCAAUUUUACUCUCCAUUCAUCAGGAUUAGAAAAUCAGAGUUUGUGGCCAAAUCUCAAUUCCUUAAACCUUCUUCAACCUCAACCACGCCUCUUCCGGACCUCUAAACUCAGUACAAAUAGUACCCAGGAGAUAUUUCUCGGAGAUCUUCUGAAGGAAUUUCCUUCCUCCAACACCGAUAUUAAG
This is a long non-coding RNA of Eurytemora carolleeae, 356 nucleotides long. RefSeq lists it as uncharacterized. The transcript is spliced from 3 exons. The record is from RefSeq and is a predicted model, not a curated record. Lineage: Eukaryota; Metazoa; Arthropoda; Copepoda; Calanoida; Temoridae.